AUUUGACUAAGAUCUCACGGAUGGCAACACUCAAUUAUCUCAUACCACAUAUCUCGAUACACGUCAAUCAGUCUACAUCGUAUUCAUGCCAUAGGCCAUAUAUAGCUAACAUGAGCAGAUAAGUAGGUGCGGCCGGGCGUGAGCACUCCCUUCUACCGUGCGUCGGCAUGCUCAUCCACGGUCACCCAGAUGAUGCUCAGCUUAGUGAGGAAGUGGCACACUGCCACAUCACCUGGCCUAACGUUGUGCAGCUCAAAGAACGAGUUCUUCGGGCUCCACAAUGACGUGUCAAGGUGGCACACGGCCAUGACCUCCAUCGUCGUCGGAGAUGCACCCUCCUCCACACUCGCCAGCGUCACCAUGUACGCAGACGUAGGCCUGGACGUGUGGCAGUAGUACACUGAGUACGGGUAGGUCAGGUCAUGGCAGGUCACGACCUCAGAUGAUGAACCGGAGAGCUUCCGUGCAGCCGUCACGUUGUACCUCCCCCUAAGCGCCGGUGUCCCCGGGCCAUCCAUGGGCAGAUCCACGGCGGAGAACGCACGGACGUUGCCCCUCCCAAGGAGGGACGCCGGCAGCUCGACGAGGGACUCCAAGGAGGUGGCGCAGCCUGCUUUCUGGCCGGGGAGCGUUCGUGGGUGCUCGCAAGUGUCCAGCGUCCACCGUAUCUCUCUGGUCAUCGUGAGUGACGCCGGCGCGAACAUCGUGAUGAUGUCGGAGAGGUGUUCCGUGGAGAAUGGGAUGGAGUCGGCGACGUCACCGGAGAGAAGCGCCGGCAUGGAGGCGGUCGGCGGGAUGGUCGGAGUGAUCAAGGACCCUGGCCUCAACAUGUCGUGGAAGAAAAAGACAUCCGCCUCUUUCUUGUUCUUGUAGCUGUGAGCGUGAACAUGGUGGCUCCCCUCUCCUUUUACUGCAACAGGUACAAUGGCAAAAACUCAAUUGAGAGGUUGUAUGUAAUAAAAUAAUGAACUCUACUUCCUUGUAAAAAAAUGAUAUUCACCUUGAUUCAGAACGUCGGCUUGUUCAUCUUUCUCUUCAACUGACCCAUAUGACAUACUGACUUCCUUUGAAUUUUCUUCGUGUGAUGUGGAGCCUUCCUUUAGAAUCUCCUGGCCGUCUACACCAUAAGACACUGAGAUUUCUUUUAAAUCCCUUUCACCUUUUAACCCGUAGGAUCCUGAUGCUUCCUUGCGAAUUUCUUGGUCCUUUGAUCCAUAUGUUACCGAUAUUUCCUUUCGAUUUUCAUGGCCGUCUGCACCAUAAGACAUUGAGAUUUCUUUUAACUCCUUUUCACCUUCUAACUCAUACGAUCCUGAGUGUUCCUUCAGAGUUUCUUGAUCUUUUGAUCUGUAUGACACAGAUAUUUCCUUCAGAUUUUCACGGUCAUCAACACCAUAAGACACUGAGAUUUCUUUUAAAUCCUUUUGACCUCUUAUAAGACGUUUUAGAAAGUGUAGUUCAAAUCUCGGCACGUUAAGAAAAUUCGGUCGUUUCCAUUUUUGCCCCUGCGCUCACUCACUCACCCGCACUCACCCAUUCCCCUCUCGCACUCACUCGCCCACGUCGACGUCUCCCUGCCCGAAUCCGGCGCGGUGGCGACGCGCCUCACUCUCCGGCGUGGUGGCGACGCUCCUCCCUCUCGCCCGCGUCGACACCUCCCUCUCGCCCACGUCGACACCUCCCUCUCGGCCGCUUCGCAGCCUCCCUUCUCCUCUUGUCGCCGCCUCUCCCUCUCCUCGCCCGCGUUGUCUAGCCAAAAUUGUUUUUUUAGUGAGGUCAGGAUGAGCGGGAGGAGCGCGUUCGUCCCCCGCGCCGACGUCAGCGUCGAGGAAUAAGCAGGUGGAGGGCAUGGCGGAGCGCCGCCGCCGCAAGCACCUCAAUGACCUUCGCUCCGUCUUACUCCAAGAUCUAGAAGGUAAAAAAUGCAACUCUUUUUCAUUUUUACCACGCCAGAUGGAGCAAUCUUGGGAGUAAAUCAAGAUGAGCGUGUCUUCUUGGUGCGAAUUUGAUUUUGGGCACCUGGAUUGACUACAUCCGCAUCUGCAUCCAAGGUCACACAUUGCCGCCAAUGGAGCAGAGCAAAAGGAGGAGGGCGACACCCAGGGAGAGGGGCGGUAGGAACACGAGCGAGCGGCUGUUUUAGAUGAGGAGGAGCGGAGGCAGCGAUGACAUGGUGCAGGCGACCUUCCAUCUGUUGCUGACCAGUGGAGGAGGAGCAGGAGGACGUCGGCGCCGUCAGUGAGCACUCCUCUCUGUAGAUCUGAUUGCUUGCCGCAUGCUUGUUGAGUAUUGCAAACUUGCUCCUCACUGAUGAUGAUGACACAAAGAUCUAACUGAAUUUCUCGCAUGCCUAGUCAUGAAUCUUGAUUAUGUCAAUGUUCACAGGAAUGUGGAGAACAAUCAAUUUGCAGGAUCAAUCCCAGAGAAGAUGCUCAGCGUCCCUAAAUUAGUGCAGAAGACAGGACAACCACGUAACCAUUCAAUUUCUGCAUAAGAAAGGACAACCAUUUAACCAUUCUGAUCCACGGUUCCUCUCCGACGACAGUGAGUUGCUGUUUGUACUCCAUGUUCUUUUGCUUGUACUGCUAGUGGUUAUGCUUGUGCUGCUAUAUCUUCUGGUGCUGCUAGAUUAAUAUGAGUAGGAGUAGAGUACAUGCAGUAGUUAGAGUGCUUGCUCAGAGUAGGAUUUUUGUUAGGAGCAAUUAGAGUACUCUACUGGAAGUCUGAAAGUACUCCUUGUAAGAGUAGUUUUUUUAGAAAAGGAGGAUGACACCGGCCUCUGCAUCUAGGAGAGUGAGGCGUAUAAUCCAUUUCCACAAACAACUUUAAAACAAUAUAAUCCAUUUCGACAAAAAAGACUCCAUGGAUGCAUUUCCACAAACAAGUCUCAUCAUAGCACUACAAGUCUCAACAUACUCCACUGCAUGCUCAGUCGACAUCUUGUCCUAGAAUCUCCAUGGCAUUAUCAUAAACUUCACGAGGGAAAUGUAUCAUAGGCGGUAGCAUUCCUUGCCUUUCCAAUCUCUCCUUCCGCAAAUGUGGAAUUUUAUACGAGUUUCCUCCUCGAUAGUUCGUCACUUCAACCAUGAUGGUCUGAAGUGUUAGAAAUAUUCGGUUGAGUUUGUCGACAUCAUACUCAUCGAACUAUUCCUGCACACCUUGAAUCAGUUCUUUGAUAGUCGUAGGGGCUCUGCAGUCGGUCAAAGACUCAAGGGAUCUGAAAUAUCCAAGAUCAAGUGCAUUCAGAUCUGGAGAAUUUGGAGGUUGUUGUAUUAUUCUAAUGUCGAGACCAGUUGUAGCCACAGCUUCUGCAAACUCUGCAUCACCGGGAAGAAUAUGUGUCUUCGCGUUGUCCUGUUGGAUCAAUAUUGGGCCAAUAUCAUCUGUGGGCCACACUUCUUUUAUUCCCGGAACCACUUUCUCUAUCAUAUACUGCCGCAUUACGUGUCGGUUCACAGUGACGUUCUUGAUUUCCAUGGUCCCUCUUGCUCUAUUUUCACUUCUUCUAGCAGCUGGAAUCUCUUGGACGAAAGGCCAGACACCAAUUUUUCCUGAGAAUGUUACAUUGCCUUCAGCAUCAUAUCUGGGUCGAGCAACAGCGGUCAGGAACAUUACUUUGCCAAUACAGUUCUUGUUCCGAAUGGUUCUGACCGGGUCAUCUUCAUGAGGGAGGAGGUAGUAGUUUCUGUUCAUUUUUGUCAUAUAGAACCACUUUUCGUCAAUAUGCACAAUGUUGUGCAUACUGAUGAAUUUAGGUCUUGUAGCUGCUAAAGUUGUCUCAUCAAGCAUCGACAUACAAAACUUGAUUCUUUCUCUUUUAUUCUUUUCUUUCAAGCUUGGCUUCAAACGAUUCGAGUGCCUCCUAAUCUUGUGAAGCUUGAGUUUCUGGUAGAGUGUAGUAUGACUGACACCCAAUGCGCGAGCAAGUGACCUGAGAGUCGGCCUUCUAUUCAAUGGAACUGUGGGGAUUUGAGAUAGGACAUUAUCCUUUCCUUUCCUUCCACAUCUUCUUUUCUUUUGGUUGGACACAUCCACCUCCUUACCAAGCUUUUUUUGUCGCUCUGCUGUCCUCCAGAUUCUCUGAAUAACUUGAAUAUCAGCUUGAAAAAUUUGAGCAACAUCCUUCUUGUCAGUUCUUUUGAACUUGCCACCCCUACUCAUAUUCAGCGUAAGCAUUGCCAUGUAAGCAGCAUAUCUCUGCUCAUCUGUUAGUGACUUUCUUUGCCUUCGUAUUUGCUGAACACCUACAGCAACAAAAGAAAAAUAGGAAAAUUAGGGAAAUUGUGUUAGAAUAAGAAAACUGAAAAUUACUCUUAUUUGAAGCACUAGGAGUAGGCAUAUGCAAAUUUCAGCAAGUUAAAUGAAUUUGAGCAAGUUAAACUUGUUGUUAAACAUAUGUUAAGUUCUAUGAACAUAUAUUCAGUUUUCAUGAACAUUUUGGAGUAUGUGUAUAGUAUGUGUAGAUGAACAUAUAUUCAGUUUUCAUGAACACUUUAGAGUAUGUUAAACCUGAUAUUUGUAUAGCAUCGGCUAGUGCAUACUCAAAAACACCAAAUCUUGUUAACAACAAGCAAAGGAAUUGCUAUUAAAGCACUAGGAGUAGGAUGCCUAUGCAUAUGCCAACAUCCGGUGCACAACUAAAAGCAGAUGUACUUCUAUACAAGGAGUAUGUGUAUGUAGUACCUGUUGCUUAUUUUUGGACAUUUAAUGUUUCUUCUUGGACAUCUGCUACUUCUUCUUCUUGGACCAUAUUCACAUCAGCUUCUUCUUCUCCUGAAGGUGGUGAGCAGUUCAGGUCUGGGAGCAUUUUGUGCUGCUGCUGCUAUGUUCCGGUACUGUUGAUGUGAUACUGCUUCUCCUCUUGCUACUGAUCCUGUGCUGUUGCUCCACUUGCUACUGUUGUUGUGCUGGUGCUGCUCUUGCUGAUAAUGCUGCUAAUAAUGCCGCCUGCUAUUGAUACUGCUGAUAAUGCUGUUGUUGUUGCUGGUCCUCUUGAUCAACUGCUCCUCUUGAUCAGCUGUUGUGUUAAUGAUGCUCUUAAUGCUUUUGUUGUCCUAAUCCUGAGCUAUCGAUCUCUUGAUGUGGAGUAAUUUGAAGAUCUCUUUUGUUGUCCUACUCCUGUACUCUUGAUCUUGAUCUGGAGCACACCUGAUUCCUUGAUCUGGAGUAAUUUGAAGAUCUCCUGAUCUGGUGUUGUGCUAUGAUGAGAAAUUAUUGCUACUGUGAUUUAUUGCUGCUCUCGAAGCUACUCCUCUUGAUCUUAUACUCCACUGUCAAGCACAUGGAUCUUGUACUCCACUAUAGUGGAAUUGAUUUUGAUCUCGUAUCUUGCUAAUGUAUUGCUUCUCCUUGCUCUGGGCGACGCGAGGAGUACCUGGGCGAGGAGCACCUGGGCGCGAGGAUGAGGGCUAGGGCGCGAGGAGGAGGACCUGGGCGCGCGAGCAGGAGGGCCAGGGCGCGAGGAGGACCUGGGCGCGCGAGGAGGAGGGCCUGGGCGCGGCGACGGCAAGGCUGGGCGCGAGGAGGAGGACCAGGGCACGGCAACGGCCAGGCUGGGCGCGUGGAGGGGCCCGGCGGCGACAAGGCUGGGCGCAGCCAGGCGACGGGGACGAGCGGGUGACGACGGGGACCAGCUCCUGGACACAGCCAGGCGACGGCGACGGCAAGGCUGGGGGCGUGGAUACGGGGACGACGCGAGGAAGAAGACGACUGGUUCGAAAUUCAAAAUAAGGGCAUAAUGGUCUAUUUGCACUUUUGUCGGCUGUGUCUGAAAAGCCCUCAACGUCUUAUAAAUCUUUCCAGAGGGAGUAAGAAUUUGACUAAGAUCUCACGGAUGGCAACACUCAAUUAUCUCAUACCACAUAUCUCGAUACACGUCAAUCAGUCUACAUCGUAUUCAUGCCAUAGGCCAUAUAUAGCUAACAUGAGCAGAUAAGUAGGUGCGGCCGGGCGUGAGCACUCCCUUCUACCGUGCGUCGGCAUGCUCAUCCACGGUCACCCAGAUGAUGCUCAGCUUAGUGAGGAAGUGGCACACUGCCA
RNAcentral lists this long non-coding RNA (6039 nucleotides) under Triticum aestivum (bread wheat). Its description in RNAcentral is "long non-coding RNA (TAES_LNC015482)". Lineage: Eukaryota; Viridiplantae; Streptophyta; Magnoliopsida; Poales; Poaceae. The record is from RNAcentral.